GCGCCCGUGGCUCAAUUGGAUAAAGCAACUGACUACGGAUCAGUAGAUUGGGGGUUCGAGUCCCUCCGGGCGCACCA
Molecule: transfer RNA, 77 nt
Filed under: Candidatus Atribacteria bacterium RBG_16_35_8
Lineage: Bacteria; Pseudomonadati; Atribacterota
Also listed under: 7 other names
Description: tRNA-Arg
Rfam family: tRNA
About the family: Transfer RNA (tRNA) molecules are approximately 80 nucleotides in length. Their secondary structure includes four short double-helical elements and three loops (D, anti-codon, and T loops).
Source: RNAcentral